This 493-nucleotide ribosomal RNA is filed under the name uncultured bacterium. RNAcentral describes it as "SSU rRNA". It matches the Rfam family "Bacterial small subunit ribosomal RNA", at positions 26 to 518 of the family's 1533-position model. The record is from RNAcentral.
AGGACAAACGCUGGCGGCGUGCGUAACACAUGCAAGUCGGACGAGGCCACUAUUCUCUUUCGGGAGGGGUGGUUGAGUGGCGGACGGGUGAGUAACACGUGGAUAACCUGCCCUGGUGUGGGGGAUACCCUGUAGAAAUACGGGCUAAUACCGCAUGCGGUAGAUUGUGGGGAGCCACGAUCUAAGAAAGCCUUUUAGGAGGCGCAGCAGGAGGGGUCCGCGGCCGAUUAGCUAGUUGGGGGGUAAAGGCUUCCCAAGGCGACGAUCGGUAGCUGGUCUGAGAGGAUGAUCAGCCACACUGGGAUUGAGAACGGCCCAGACUCCUACGGGGGGCAGCAGUGAGGAAUCUUCGUCAAUGGGCGCAAGCCUGAACGAGCAACGCCGCGUGUGGGGAAGAAGGCCUUCGGGUUGUAAAGCACUGUCGAGGGGGAGAAAGCCGCAAGGUUGAUCGACCCCUGGAGGAAGCACGGGCUAAGUUCGUGCCAGCAGCCGC